Magnolia sinica is the source of this 824-nucleotide long non-coding RNA. RefSeq lists it as uncharacterized. NCBI's taxonomy places the organism in Eukaryota, Viridiplantae, Streptophyta, Magnoliopsida, Magnoliales, Magnoliaceae. The record is from RefSeq and is a predicted model, not a curated record. The transcript is spliced from 3 exons.
GUAUGUGAUAAUUAGUAUCCUUUGAUAUAUAAGAUUUCUUUUUCAUAAAUUUUUUUAUACCAAAUGUCAGUUAGGAGCAUCUUCAAAAGUGAAUUUUCUAGGUAGAAUUUCUAUUAGGAAACCAUUUUCUAUUUGUGACUGUGCUUGUUAUUUAUCUAUAUAUUUGCAGAUCUAUUACAAAUCUUGCCACUGGCAGUCGAAUGGGGUCUCAAUCAGCCCACAAUUUCAGAUAUCAAAGCUUAUAGAACCAUAAUGGUGAUAAAUUUAAUAAAUAAAGAAUGAUUAAUUUGUGGAUAUAGAUCUUGCUUCUCAUAUAUAGAUAGCAAACCCAGGUUUGGUUGGAGCCAUCACACUUAAGCUAAGUUUGAUGGUUAAUAUGUUUGAUGGAUUAGAGUUUUGGGAACAUUUAAACACCACAAUUUCAUUAAGGAAAUCAAGUGGGACUCAAGCAAAUAAGAUGGAGAAGGGGCCUAGUAGCACAUGUGCUAUCCUCAUACAGUUGUAGGAAAAUGAGUAAAGGGCAGCUGGUGGUUGAACUAAAAAUCAGUUUGACUUGCUUAUUAGGUUGCAACUUAACAAACUUUGAAUGUCUACAAAUCUAUGGUUGUCUCCAUUUACAGAGGGGACACAAGGAGAAAGGCGAUGCUUGGCACAAGAUUGCACACAUCUCAGACAUUCAAAUUGGAUGGCCACCUGAUUGUAAGCACCACUUCUUGCUCAACCUUAUCUUUGCUUUAUAACAUAUGAUUUUACCAAAUAAUGCCUUUAGUAACUAUUAAGCACUGUUUAGUGCUUUUGGGGUUGUAAAAUGACCCAAGCACGUG